RNAcentral lists this long non-coding RNA (2940 nucleotides) under Triticum aestivum (bread wheat). RNAcentral describes it as "long non-coding RNA (TAES_LNC014785)". The record is from RNAcentral. Lineage: Eukaryota; Viridiplantae; Streptophyta; Magnoliopsida; Poales; Poaceae.
AUCGACAUCGAGCAACAUCGAGCGUUCCUCUUCUUCGUGGGGCGUGCACCUUCUGGGGGUGUAGGCGUGCAGCACCUGCUGCUAUGGAGGACGGAUGGCGCAGUGCUUCUAUCAUCAUCGUCGGGCUCAAAUUCCUGUAUGUAUGGAUCAAGAUGCCAUUCCCUGUUUUUUCCCUUCCAUUUCUGUUUAUAGAGUACAUCAAGGACACACUCACAUUCAGAAAGCACCAAUUAAACCUUGUGUAUCAAAUAACCAUUAUUGUAGGAGAAUUAUGAAGUAAUUUUCAUUUACAAACUUAUCUAGUAUUCUGAUAAUGUAAUGGAACUUUUACCUUUAAUUAACCAAUAUACAUAGCAGUACGCAUGGUUUAAGCCUUGAGCAUUAGUUCAGUUAUGCGUACAUUCUGUGAAGGUUUGUUGCUCCAAUUUGCCAUAUGGUGGAGAAACCAUAUAGUUGAGUUUGUCCUUAUCAGCUAUAAUAGCAAAAGUAUAUGAUCCUAUUUCAGCUCAAAUAGCCAGUUCUAUUUCAGGUCAAAGAGUCAGUUUUAAAAACAAAACAAGAAAAGGGUCAGGUAUAGUAUACAAGGUGAGAUGGAAGAUUCUUAUAAUGUAGGCCAUGUUUCGUUUAAAAAAGAAGGCUAUGCUACUGAUAUUUACUUUCAGUUCUUAUCCAUCUCUCGAAGAUAAAUAUUGCGGGUGAGAUUGCUACCCAAAUAUGAAUAGUUCGGAACCUUCGAACUUGUGCAAUGUUCUUCUGCUAACAAAAUCUCGAGAUUUGGCAAUUUUCAUCAGUUGUUUCGAUUAUGCUACAUUAUUCAAUUUUUUUGCCUUUGUGAUAUGUAAUCUCGCACCUCAUCGGCUUUCUUCUAAUACAGAAUGGCAUGUAUUUAUAUGUGUCUUUGAGAAAAAUAUUGCAUCAUCAUUAUUAUAUCAGUAUAUGCCACUGGAGAAAACAUAAGGUGCAGUUGAGAAUUAAAACAAAUAUUUUACAUUUUGUAUUGUGUUCAAUUGUCGAAGACUAAAAGUAUAAAUACCAACUACACUUUACUCAUUCUGUUGCUAACCAAGUAACCAUCAUUACAGAAGCUGGCAUGUUCAUUUGAAAAAUAGAUAAAAGAGGACAAGGGGAUACUAGAAGAUACAAGCAUGUAAGCAAUAGUUCUUGUGAUUAUAUUUAACAAUGAACAUUAUGGUUGAUUGCUUAAAAAUCUUUGCUUCUAAUGGAGCUGGAAGUGGAUUCUAAGCGUAUGGCAGAAGCAGCAAUGUGACCAGAAGCAAGGUGGGGUAAUAAGCCUUGUACUCACUUACCUCUUUACAUUGUUUAGAUCUAUGGCUGUCUCACCCCUUGUAAAGUAGUAAUUUUUGAAACCGGUUUUCUCCAAGGCAUUAGUUGCACCUUUCUUGUACAUGUGUAUCCUGUAUAUUAGCAAAAACUGUGAAAUAGCAUAAUGUCGUGUUGGAAACUUGGAAUUCACGAUUGCACUUAAAAUGGCCGUUAUCUUCAUGAUAGCUCCAAGCUUUAUUCUAGAAGCGUACGUUAGUUAGAUACAAUCAGCUCAUGUUGAUUCAGAACUUGAGUGUAGCAUGAUGAAAAAUUAGAAGUAGUAUGUUGCUUUUGCUUGGUAGAAACAUGACUUGUCCUCUUGGCACAGUAUACAUCUCAUUGUACUGCCAGUGCAUUUAAUUGAUUGAUUGAUUCCAAGGCAUUCCUAGUAAAUAGUAUAGCAAAGCUUAAUCACCAAAUUGGCACACUAGCGAUCAAUGUUGAUUAUGAAGGUAGAUUUAUUUCAAUCUAAAAGAAGAACCUUGCAUUAAUUGAAGCAUAAUAUGCAGCCUCUGAACUAUGGCAAAGUUCACAGUUUUUAUUUAUGCCUACACUAGAAAAUUACUUCACUCGUUAUACACCAUCAAACCAUAAUACAGUUAUAUCUUGCAGCAAUACUUAUAUCAGUAAUGACAUCACUCAGAAUUAAGUGAUGGCUAUAUGUCUCGUGACAAGUUUGACAAUGACCUCAAGAUCAGCAAUAUGCUCCUGAACUGGUACCUUAUGCAUGAUUCAUAAGUAACAUAGAUUGGGGUUAACCAACACAGGUGGUCAAUUCUUUGCUCAAUGAACUUCUCGUGCCUAAUUUGUUAUUUCUUUGCAAUUUCACCCUUCUUGAUGUAAUUAGAUUGGUAUUGUAUAUGAGCCAAAGUUGAAAAUUGUUUUAGUCAUAAACAGAGUUGAUAUAUUUGCUUUUACUUCUCUGAGUUACUUUGAUGCCAGCUUUCAUAGUACUAAUUGAUCUAUUUCUUUACAUAACUAUAUCAUGUAUAAUACUCCCUCCAUCCCAUAAUAUAAGAGUUUUUUUGACCUCUUAUAUUACGGGAUGGAGGGAGUAGCUUAUAAGAUGCAUUGAUUUCUGUUCUUGUAGCCAGCUAUGACCAAUGUAUGCAUAGGUCCAGAAUUUGUGAAUAUUAUAAAGAAAACUAUAGUAUCUUGUCUACAAGAUUAUAUAUUGUAAUUCUUAUGUAUAUUGUUGCAGGUUUCUCAAAUAUACACAAGUUGCUAGAGGUUUCAAGAUCUACAAGUUGCUGGAUGUUUGGACGAUCUAACAAGUUGGUGGAGUGAUAAUAUAUAUUACCUUCAUCCCAAAUUACUUGUCUUGGACUAUAACGUGUCUAGAUACAUCUGUAUCUAGAAAAACAAUUUGGGACAGAGGGAGUAUGUAAUAUGCCUUGUUUGUUGAGCCUAGAGAUGUUGUUAAGUUUCACUUUGCCAUUUUGGUGGUUGUUUUGGCACAUAAGCCAGAGAAUUCUCAUUUUGAUUGUGCCACAAUUUCUUUUCCUAGAAACUGAUCUACUUUCCAUUGUGGCACAAGGUUAUGUAUUUGAUUCGUUAAUGUUAUUGAAUGAGACCUUGCAUGUAACAUUGAUUAAAGUGUAUGUAUAACUUUUGUGA